This is a non-coding RNA of Phrynosoma platyrhinos (Desert horned lizard), 72 nucleotides long. The record is from the annotation of a GenBank genome assembly. Lineage: Eukaryota; Metazoa; Chordata; Lepidosauria; Squamata; Phrynosomatidae.
GCCAGUGUGGAGUAGUGGUUUGAGUGUUGGACUAUGACUCUAGACUCCAGGGUUCAAGUCACAGCUCAGCCA